GAUGAAGAACGUAGCGAAAUGCGAUAAGUAAUGUGAAUCGCAGAAUUCAGUGAAUCAUCGAAUCUUUGAACGCACAUUGCGCCCCCUGGUAUUCCGGGGGGCAUGCCUGUCCGAGCGUCAUUACAACCCUCAAGCUCAGCUUGGUAUUGGGCCCCGCCGCUCCGGCGGGCCCUAAAGUCAGUGGCGGUGCCGUCCGGCUCCGAGCGUAGUAAUUCUUCUCGCUCUGGAGGUCCGGUCGUGUGCUCGCCAGCAACCCCCAAUUUUUUUCAGGUUGACCUCGGAUCAGGUAGGGAUACCCGCUGAACUUAAGCAUAUCAAUAAGCGGAGGA
Molecule: unclassified non-coding RNA, 329 nt
Filed under: soil metagenome
Description: partial contains 5.8S ribosomal RNA, internal transcribed spacer 2, and large subunit ribosomal RNA
Rfam family: 5.8S ribosomal RNA (bases 1-120)
Source: RNAcentral